AGUCGAACGGCAGCACUGACUUCGGUCUCGGUGGCGAGUGGCGAACGGGUGAUAAUGUAUUUCGGAACGUGCCUAGAUGGGGAUAACUACGCGAAAGCGUAGCUAAUACCGCAUACCGCCCUUCGGGGAAAGCGGGGGACCUUCGGGCCCGCACCAUUAGAGCGGCCGAUAUCGGAUUAGCUGAGCUGGUGGGGCAAAUGGCUCACCAAGGCGACGAUCCGUGCUGGUUUGAGAGGACGACCAGCCACACUGGGACUGGUGAUAGUCGCCCGACUCCAGGCUGGGAGGCGCUGUGGUAUUCGACAGAACCUGAUCCAGCCAUCCCGCGUGUGCGAUGAAGGCCUUUCGGGUUGUAAAGCACUUUGGCAGGAAAGAAACGGCACGACAUCACCCCGCAACUGACGGUAUUCUGCAGAGUAAGCACCGGCUAACUACGCCAGCAGCCGGCAUUGAAAAAGAAUCGGAAUUACUGGGCGUAAAGCGUGCGCAGGCGGUUCGGAAAGAAAGAUGUGAAAUCCUACAGAGCUUAACUUUUGGAACUGGCAUUUUUAACAAUGAGCUAGAGGUGGUCAGAGGGAGUAACCAGGUAGCAGUGAAAUGCGUAGAUAUGCGGAGGAACACCGAUGGCGAACGCAGCCCGUGAGGUCAAUUGACGCUCAUGCACGAAAGCGUGGGAGCAAACAGGAUUAGAUACCCUGGUAGUCCACGCCCUAAACGAUGUCAACUAGCUGUUAGCCUCGGGCCUUUGUAGCGCAGCCAAUCGCGGUGAAGUUGGAUCGCCUGGGGAGUACGGUCGCAAGAUUAAAACUCAAAGGAAUUGACGGGGACUCGCAAUGGCAGGAUGAGGAUAACUUCGGAUGCACAAUGCGAAAAAUCUGUCUGGCUCUUUUCAAUAGCACCAACCCUGAAGAGAUUUAGUACGUCUGCAGAGAAACGGAAACAGAGGUGCUGCAUGGCUGUCGCUGUCGUACGAGGAUGGUCAAUUGAGUCCCGCAAUGAGCGCAGCCUUUAACGUUGAAUGCGCGAAAGGCACUUACUGCUGCCGGUACAACAGCCGAGGAAGGUGGAGACAACGUCCGCCAUGCCUUAUGGUGGCUCGCGCCGUCAUACACAAUGGUCGGGACAGAGGGUCGCCAACCCGCGAGGGGGAGCCAAUUCCAGAAACCCGAUCGUAGUCCGAUCGUAGUCUGCAAACCUGACUGCGAAGUCGGAAUCGCUAAAGUAAUCGCGGAUCAGCAUGUCGCGGUAUGAAUACGUUCCCGGGUCUUGUGCCACACCGCCCGUCACACCAUGGGAGUGGGUUUUACCAGAAGUAAAGCAGCCCAACCCGUAAGGAGGGCGAUUACCACGGUAGGAUUCAUGACUGGGGUAGUCGUAACAAGGUAGCUCAGCAUACCUGAUGCUCCA
Molecule: ribosomal RNA, 1407 nt
Filed under: uncultured Bordetella sp.
Lineage: Bacteria; Pseudomonadati; Pseudomonadota; Betaproteobacteria; Burkholderiales; Alcaligenaceae
Description: partial 16S-23S ribosomal RNA intergenic spacer
Rfam family: Bacterial small subunit ribosomal RNA
Source: RNAcentral